AUGUACUCCUUUUCCUAUUUGGAACCAGUCUGUUGUUCCAUGUCCAGUUCUAACUGUUGCUUCCUGACCUGCAUACAGAUUUCUCAAGAGGCAGGUCAGGUGGUCUGGUAUUCCCAUCUCUUUCAGAAUUUUCCACAGUUUCUUGUGAUCCACACAGUCAACGGCUUUGACAUAGUCAAUAAAGCAGAAAUAGAUGUUUUUCUGGAACACUCUUGCUUUUUCCAUGAUCCAGCAGAUGCUGGCAAUGCAAUUUGAUCUCUGGUUUCUCUGCCUUUUCUAAAACCAGCUUGUAUAUCUGGAAGUUCAGGUUCACGUAUUGCUGAAGCCUGGCUUGGAGAAUGUUGAGCAUUACUUUACUAGGGUGUGAGAUGAGUGCAGUUGUGCAGUAGUUUGAGCAUUCUUUGCAUUGCCUUUCUUUGGGAUUGGAAUGAAAACUGAUCUUUUCCAGACCUGUGGUCCCUGCUGAGUUUUCCAAAUUUUGCUGUAGAUAGAUAAUAUUUCAAGAGUGUGGUCCAUCACAUAAUCAUUGAUGUGCUGUGCUUAGUCACUCAGUUGUGUCUGACUCUUUGCAGCCCAUGGACUGUAGCCUUCCAGGCUCCUCUAACCAUGGAGAUUCUCCAAGUAAGAAUAUUGAAGUGCAUUGCCAUGCCCUCCUCCAGGGAAUCUUCCCAAGCCAGGGAUGGAACCCAGGUUCCAACAUUGCAAGCAGAGUCUUUACCAUCUGAGCCACCAGGGAAGCCCAAUCAGUGAUAAUCUGACACAAAGGGGAAAAACGUUAGGACAUCAUGAGAGAACUGAGGGGGAAAUUUAAAAAACAAACAACCAACCAACAACAACAACAACAAUAAAAAAAAAAAAACAGAAAUAAAAACCAGAAAUGAAUCAUCAAAAUUUCAGGUGUUAGAAAAACAAACGCAGACUGUAAAUUAACUAUACAUAAAUAAAUUUCAAACAGCAAUAAACUCAGCAAGGCACAGUACAGAAUUAUACACGUAAAGGUUUGUUAAGAUGGUAGAUCUCAUUUUAUGUUUU
This 1032-nucleotide long non-coding RNA is filed under the name Ovis aries (sheep). RNAcentral's name for it is "lncRNA (ENSOARG00000026263.1)". The record is from RNAcentral. Lineage: Eukaryota; Metazoa; Chordata; Mammalia; Artiodactyla; Bovidae.